This 241-nucleotide ribosomal RNA is filed under the name uncultured bacterium. Its description in RNAcentral is "partial 16S ribosomal RNA". It matches the Rfam family "Bacterial small subunit ribosomal RNA", at positions 524 to 764 of the family's 1533-position model. The record is from RNAcentral.
UACAGAGGGGGCAAGCGUUAUUCGGAAUUAUUGGGCGUAAAGGGCGCGUAGGCGGCUUUGCAAGUGGCGGGUGAAAUCCCUCGGCUUAACCGAGGAACUGCCUGCCAGACUGUGAGGCUUGAGACCGGGAGAGGUGAGUGGAAUUCCCAGUGUAGCGGUGAAAUGCGUAGAUAUCAGGAGGAACACCGGUGGCGAAGGCGGGUCUCUGGGCCGAUACUGACGCUGAGGAGCAAAGACGUGG